UGGGGAAUAUUGGACAAUGGGCGAAAGCCUGAUCCAGCAAUGCCGCGUGAGUGAUGAAGGCCUUAGGGUUGUAAAGCUCUUUUACCCGGGAUGAUAAUGACAGUACCGGGAGAAUAAGCUCCGGCUAACUCCGUGCCAGCAGCCGCGGUAAUACGGAGGGAGCUAGCGUUGUUCGGAAUUACUGGGCGUAAAGCGCACGUAGGCGGCUUUGUAAGUUAGAGGUGAAAGCCUGGAGCUCAACUCCAGAAUUGCCUUUAAGACUGCAUCGCUCGAAUCCAGGAGAGGUGAGUGGAAUUCCGAGUGUAGAGGUGAAAUUCGUAGAUAUUCGGAAGAACACCAGUGGCGAAGGCGGCUCACUGGACUGGUAUNACGCUGAGGUGCGAAAGCGUGGGGAGCAAACAGGAUUAGNUACCCUGGUAGUCCACGCCGUAAACGAUGAUAACUAGCUGUCCGGGAAACUUGGUUCUUGGGUGGCGCAGCUAACGCAUUAAGUUAUCCGCCUGGGGAGUACGGCCGCAAGGUUAAAACUUAAAGGAAUUGACGGGGUCAUAGCUGUUUCCU
Molecule: ribosomal RNA, 561 nt
Filed under: uncultured bacterium
Lineage: Bacteria
Description: partial 16S ribosomal RNA
Rfam family: Bacterial small subunit ribosomal RNA
Source: RNAcentral